Molecule: ribosomal RNA, 559 nt
Filed under: uncultured bacterium
Lineage: Bacteria
Description: bacterial SSU rRNA
Rfam family: Bacterial small subunit ribosomal RNA
Source: RNAcentral
AGGAAUCUGCCUGGUAGUGGGGGACAACGUUUCGGAAGGAACGCUAAUACCGCAUACGUCCUACGGGAGAAAGCAGGGGACCUUCGGGCCUUGCGCUAUCAGAUGAGCCUAGGUCGGAUUAGCUAGUUGGUGGGGUAAUGGCUCACCAAGGCGACGAUCCGUAACUGGUCUGAGAGGAUGAUCAGUCACACUGGAACUGAGACACGGUCCAGACUCCUACGGGAGGCAGCAGUGGGGAAUAUUGGACAAUGGGCGAAAGCCUGAUCCAGCCGUGCCGCGUGUGUGAAGAAGGUCUUCGGAUUGUAAAGCACUUUAAGUUGGGAGGAAGGGCAUUAACCUAAUACGUUAGUGUUUUGACGUUACCGACAGAAUAAGCACCGGCUAACUCUGUGCCAGCAGCCGCGGUAAUACAGAGGGUGCAAGCGUUAAUCGGAAUUACUGGGCGUAAAGCGCGCGUAGGUGGUUUGUUAAGUUGGAUGUGAAAGCCCCGGGCUCAACCUGGGAACUGCAUCCAAAACUGGCAAGCUAGAGUACGGUAGAGGGUGGUAGAAUUUCCUGU